GCGCCCGUAGCUCAGCUGGAUAGAGCGUUGGCCUCCGGAGCCAAAGGUCAGAGGUUCAAAUCCCCUCGGGCGCGCCA
Molecule: transfer RNA, 77 nt
Filed under: Candidatus Nitrosacidicoccus urinae
Lineage: Bacteria; Pseudomonadati; Pseudomonadota; Gammaproteobacteria; Chromatiales; Chromatiaceae
Description: Candidatus Nitrosacidococcus sp. I8 tRNA-Arg
Rfam family: tRNA
About the family: Transfer RNA (tRNA) molecules are approximately 80 nucleotides in length. Their secondary structure includes four short double-helical elements and three loops (D, anti-codon, and T loops).
Source: RNAcentral